Non-coding RNA from Pimephales promelas (fathead minnow), 281 nucleotides. The record is from RefSeq and is a predicted model, not a curated record. Lineage: Eukaryota; Metazoa; Chordata; Actinopteri; Cypriniformes; Leuciscidae.
AAAAAUCAAACUUGAUUGUGGGCCGUGGGCCAAAAAUAAAUUUUAGCAUCAUAAAUCAAACGGUAUUACAUUAAAGUUGCUAUGGGUUUAUUUGUUUUAUAAUAUUUAAAAUAAAUAUAAAACAACUUCAAUCUGAUUAACUAAUGCAGUUUUAUUUGUUAAGUUUUGCAUUUUAAAGAAAUCCCCUCUCCCCGGACGGUAUGGCGGGCCAAAUCAAAGGAUAUCACGGGCCAACUUUGGCCCGCGGGCCCUAGUUUGGGCAUCUCUGACUUAAAGGGAUA